GGGCCGCUAGCUCAUCGGGUUAGAGCACCUGCCUUUUAAGCAGGUGGUACCAGGUUCGAGUCCUGGGCGGCUCACCA
RNAcentral lists this transfer RNA (77 nucleotides) under Candidatus Krumholzibacteriia bacterium. Its description in RNAcentral is "tRNA-Lys". It matches the Rfam family "tRNA". From Rfam's summary of the family: Transfer RNA (tRNA) molecules are approximately 80 nucleotides in length. The record is from RNAcentral. Lineage: Bacteria; Candidatus Krumholzibacteriota; Candidatus Krumholzibacteriia.